AACGCUGGCGGCAUGCUUAACACAUGCAAGUCGUACGAGAAAGUCUUCUUCGGAAGGCGAGUAAAGUGGCGAACGGGUGAGUAACACGUAAGAAUCUACCCUUUGGUCUGGGAUAACAUCGCGAAAGUGGUGCUAAUNACCGGAUAAUAUCCACGGAUCAAAGAGGGCUUUGCCCUCACCAGAGGAGGAGCUUGCGCCCCAUUAGCUAGUUGGUGAGGUAAUGGCUCACCAAGGCUCCGAUGGGUAGCCGGCCUGAGAGGGUGUACGGCCACACUGGAACUGAGACACGGUCCAGACUCCUACGGGAGGCAGCAGUGGGGAAUAUUGGUCAAUGGGCGAAAGCCUGAACCAGCAAUGCCGUGUGGGUGAUGAAGCUUCUAGGAGUGUAAAACCCUUUUAUGAGGGAAGAACGAAAUGCGGUUAAUAUCUGUAUUUCUUGACGGUACCUCAUGAAUAAGCCCCGGCUAACUCCGUGCCAGCAGCCGCGGUAACACGGAGGGGGCAAGCGUUGUUCGGAAUUACUGGGCGUAAAGGGCGUGUAGGCGGCCUAGCAGGCCAGAUGUGAAAUCCCCGGGCUCAACUCGGGAACUGCGUUUGAAACCGUUAGGCUUGAGGCUAGGAGAGGAAAGCGGAAUUCCUGGUGUAGCGGUGAAAUGCGUAGAUCUCAGGAGGAACACCGGUGGCGAAAGCGGCUUUCUGGACUAGUUCUGACGCUGAGGCGCGAAAGCGUGGGGAGCGAACGGGAUUAGAUACCCCGGUAGUCCACGCUGUAAACGAUGAGCACUAGGUGUAGCGGGUAUCGACCCCUGCUGUGCCGCAGCUAACGCAAUAAGUGCUCCGNCUGGGGAUUACGCACGCAAGUGUGAAACUCAAAGGAAUUGACGGGGCCCCGCACAAGCGGUGGAGUAUGGUGGUUAAUUCGAUGCAAC
This 929-nucleotide ribosomal RNA is filed under the name uncultured organism. RNAcentral's name for it is "bacterial SSU rRNA". It matches the Rfam family "Bacterial small subunit ribosomal RNA", at positions 32 to 960 of the family's 1533-position model. The record is from RNAcentral.